This 506-nucleotide ribosomal RNA is filed under the name uncultured bacterium. RNAcentral describes it as "partial 16S ribosomal RNA". It matches the Rfam family "Bacterial small subunit ribosomal RNA", at positions 29 to 523 of the family's 1533-position model. The record is from RNAcentral.
AGUGAACGCUGGCGGUAGGCCUAACACAUGCAAGUCGAACGGUAGCACAGGAGAGCUUGCUCUCUGGGUGGCGAGUGGCGGACGGGUGAGGAAUACAUCGGAAUCUACUUUUUCGUGGGGGAUAACGUAGGGAAAUUUACGCUAAUACCGCAUACGACCUACGGGUGAAAGCAGGGGACCUUCGGGCCUUGCGCGAUUGAAUGAGCCGAUGUCGGAUUAGCUAGUUGGCGGGGUAAAGGCCCACCAAGGCGACGAUCCGUAGCUGGUCUGAGAGGAUGAUCCGCCUCACUGGAACUGAGACACGGUCCAGACUCCUACGGGAGGCAGCAGUGGGGAAUAUUGGACAAUGGGCGCAAGCCUGAUCCAGCCAUACCGCGUGGGUGAAGAAGGCCUUCGGGUUGUAAAGCCCUUUUGUUGGGAAAGAAAUCCAGCUGGCUAAUACCCGGUUGGGAUGACGGUACCCAAAGAAUAAGCACCGGCUAACUUCGUGCCAGCAGCCGCAGUAA